This 332-nucleotide unclassified non-coding RNA is filed under the name soil metagenome. RNAcentral describes it as "partial contains 5.8S ribosomal RNA, internal transcribed spacer 2, and large subunit ribosomal RNA". The stretch from base 1 to 120 matches the Rfam family "5.8S ribosomal RNA", at positions 35 to 154 of the family's 154-position model. The record is from RNAcentral.
GAUGAAGAACGUAGCGAAUUGCGAUAUGUAAUGUGAAUUGCAGAUUUCAGUGAAUCAUCGAAUCUUUGAACGCACAUUGCGCCCGCUAGUAUUCUGGCGGGCAUGCCUGUUCGAGCGUCAUUUCAACCAUCAAGCCCUAGGCUUGCGUUGGAGCCCUGCGGCUGCCGCAGGCUCCCAAAUCCAGUGGCGGGCUCGUCGUCGUACCGAGUGCAGUAAACAUCCUCGCUCAGGGAACGUGACGGGUUCUUGCCGUGAAACCCCCCACAUAUCAAGGUUGACCUCGGAUCAGGUAGGAAUACCCGCUGAACUUAAGCAUAUCAAUAAGCGGAGGA